AGCAGCCGCGGUAAUUCCAGCUCCAAUAGCGUAUAUUAAAGUUGUUGCAGUUAAAAAGCUCGUAGUUGAAUUUCGGGGUCAGUAGGUUGGUCGUGCCACCGGUACGUACUGGUCUCACUGAUUCCUCCUUCCUGAUGAGCUGUAAUGCCAUUAAUUUGGUGUUGCAGGGAAUCUGGACUGUUACUUUGAAAAAAUUAGAGUGUUUAAAGCAGGCUAACGCUUGAAUACAUUAGCAUGGAAUAAUGAAAUAGGACGUUCGAUCCUAUUUUGUUGGUUUCUAGGAUUGACGUAAUGAUUAAUAGGGAUAGUUGGGGGCAUUAGUAUUCAAUUGUCAGAGGUGAAAUUCUUGGAUUUAUUGAAGACUAACUACUGCGAAAGCAUUUGCCAAGGAUGUUUUCAUUAAUCAAGAACGAAAGUUAGGGGAUCGAAGACGAUCAGAUACCGUCGUAGUCUUAACCAUAAACUAUGCCGACUAGGGAUCGGA
This 484-nucleotide ribosomal RNA is filed under the name uncultured Glomus. Its description in RNAcentral is "SSU rRNA". It matches the Rfam family "Eukaryotic small subunit ribosomal RNA", at positions 569 to 1057 of the family's 1831-position model. Lineage: Eukaryota; Fungi; Glomeromycota; Glomeromycetes; Glomerales; Glomeraceae. The record is from RNAcentral.